CUCCAGUCUCCUUGGUCAGUGAAAUAUUUCCUCUUCAACCUCAGACCCGACAUUUUUCUUUUACCAAAGGAUUUCAGAUGGGAUUGCUCGAACAGCAGCACCCCCUCUGGGUUAAUGCUGCUUCACCCCAUCCCCCACCCUCCCUCCCCCCUCUGGGCCUUUAAGUGGAAGCAGCUUGCACGGUGCCUGGCACAGUCCCAUCCAUCCCCCCAAAAUGUCUCAGCAUCUAUAUUUAGAAUCCUAUUGAACAGUGAUUUUCAGCCUUCUUUGGGUGCGAGACCCCUUAGAAAAUCGCUAGAAAGUAUGAAUUCUCUUUCCAGAAAUCGGACAACGCAGAGCGUAGGAUCCCAUUCAGGAGGCUGGCUCCUGAGUGCUGGAGGUGAGGAAGCCUCCAGAACCUAGACCGGCCCAGGGCUAACAAGGCGCAGCCGAUGGCACCCUCAUCCCCUGAAUGCUGGUUGCAAUGCAGAUUUCCUGGCCCCACCCGCACCUGCUACUCCGCCCCUUGAGUUCUUUGAAGACCCCAAGCCGGGUUCUAACCCGCCGAUCCAGCCCUGGACUCCUUGGGAUUCGCACAGCACCCACCACCCCGUUUAGGAUCUUUCGUAGCCGGAGCAGUGUAACGUAAACGAAGCUAUACUUACAAUUUAUUUUGAUUUUCAGUAAGAUAGCACGUGUCUUCUUGGGGAAAUGGAAACAGAACCCUUCCCUCCAUGAAGUACAACAAACACUACGAAAUCCCUUUCCGGUGUACCUUCUGGCUUUUUAUAGAAAGGAAGGAAAACGCAAAGCUAAACAGAGAGGGACAGGUGCCCAGGCAGAGGGAGAGAGGAAAACGGGGAAGACAAGACAGAUGCCUCCCACCCACACACACAGAAAAAGACACACACAGACGCAAACAUCCCAAGAAAAACAGACUUUCCUGGUGAAACACCCUCUCUUUUGGCCCUUUAGGAUUCACUUCCAGGAGCCGUGCAUUUGCACUGUACAGGGUGGACUCAGAUGGGCCUUCCCAGCCACAUCCUGGCAGGACAGGUUGAGAGCCAGUGAGGGCUAAGCCCGCUCCAGCCCAAGGGCUCGGCUCAGCAUCCGCCAAGCCUUGCCUGACCCAGGCGGAUGGGGAUCUCGGCGCUCCGUGUUCCGUCUCGCAGCCUGUCCUUUCGUGGGGCGCUCAUGUCCCGCGUUCCCAGAGGGUGCACCCAAAUCUGCUGUCCCCUCAAAUUAUUUCAGUCCAUCAGGUGGGAUGGUCCCUGCCUAAUUGCUCAGAAUUACUCUGAGAUACUUGCCUCUUGGGUAAGUCUGGGCGUUUACAGACCCCCACGGGCUGGCCUUAAACCUGGCCGUACCCUUAGAAGACCCCAGGAGAGGGACUGCGAGAUGGUGAGAAGGAUCGUUUUGGUUCUGGAAGCACUUAUGUUUUCUUAUAUGCCGGUGUUGUUGGACCAUCUUUGCCCAGAGACGGUUCUCUCCAUCUAAGCAACACAACCCAAGAUAGAACAGCUAGCCAGUAAGGAGGAUUGGGAAUCCAGCUGAUUAAUAGGAUGGGUUAAGGUUAGGUUCGGGAUGGGAGAGGGAGCUGAAGGCACCCAUCUGAAUUAGACGGUGGAGAAUGUGGUCCCUUGUGUGACCUGUAAAGACACCCUCGAGGCAUUUUGCUCUGGCCCAGAACUGAAGCGAACACCCUGAGCCUCCUCGUGCUCUGGGGACUGAGAACAUUCUGCCUCAGGUCCUCGUUUAGAUGCUCCAGGGAGUCCAGGUGAUUCUGGCACCCCUUUGAAGUUGCUGGGAGCUGCCAGAUCUGGUUUGGGUGGCCUCGCUUCCUCUCCCCUGCCCUCCCUGCCUAGGGCAGGGUGGCCCCUGCUGAGAAGGUUGCUUGGCUACCUGUACCAUGGAGUCAGUCGAAUGCCGAUCUGUUAGGCUCAGAGGUGAUCAGAAGACACCUUAGGUAUUCACUGCUUUUUGUGACAUGGGUUGGCUUUUGUCUCCAUGGAAUUCACCUCCUAAUUUCUGUUCUUUCAGAGCAAAGUGGAAUGAUUAUUUUGGUUCCCAGUGUUUCUGAUUGCAUACGGAAAGCUGCAUUUAAAUAAGUUGGUUAAAAGUUCUGCUGCCCUGUAACGCACAGAUCAGGAACGUUUGUUCACUCACAUGAACUCUCAUGUUUUAGGAAGCACAAUUUUUCAGAUUUUCGGGCAGUGGCUUACAGCAACCUUGGCAGGGCCUUCGCUCUCUGGGAGCGUGUGGUCGUCCGACUGCGCUUCAGGUCCCACUUGAAGAAGGAAGAGCAUGUUGUUUCUAUGAAGAGGCAAAGAUUUGUUUUCCCAUAGUCUUUCUCCCAACUUCCAUUUCCCGGCUGGGUAAAGGAAUGCGCUUAGGAGAUUGGGGCGUGCUUUUCCGUGGAGACAGAGAGGGUGAUGCUGACCUCGAACGUGAAGCGCUUUCAUAUUUUGCCUGGAAUUGCUUUGACCUUGAUCUCCCAAGGUCCACGUUGGGAAGGCAAUGGACACCUGUUUGGGUCCCGGAGUCCAGCUUCUCUUCCAGAUGCGUUCCACCGUUUUCAAGGAGAGCAGUUGGACAACAUGGCUUCUGAGUCAUCAGAUUGUCUUUGGGGUUGAUCAGGAUUUUAUUUUUAACCGCAGUGGGAUUCAUACGGGUAUCUUUUUCAAUGCUCUUCCUUUGCGUGUCCUAAAGCUUUUAUACCAGGUGAAUCAUGCCGUUUAGCUUCCUUUUGUGUGUCCCGGGGGCCCUGACACUGUGGGUGGUGAUCCAAAGUCCCCCAGGCAAGGCUGGUACAGGAAGGGCCACUCCUGUUGCUACACAGGAAAGGGUAAUUAACAAUUCGCUUGGAGGUUGUGGCUCCCGGACUUCAACAGUUAAUCAUGCCAGUUAAGUGAAGACACUUCGGUAGGAUCUGCUCGAUUAAAUGGGACGCUUCUCGAGGAACUGCUCAAUGAAAUGAGGGGUGUGCCUGUGGCGCCGUGCAGGUCUAAGCCGGCAUAGUCUUGGGCGGAUUUAAAGCCAGUCCCCUACACCCGUGUAUACCACAAGGCUUUGAGGAUGCUCAGUGGCUACCUGGUGUUAGACGGCACCUGGCUGCAGACCACUUCUCCUUUAUCGGACGGAUGCGGUUCAAAACGUCGCCAAUGUUGGGAGCUAGACCUUAGGCAAAUUGCUUAACCUCUCAGAUCCAUGACUUCCUUCUGCGAGCGAUGGAGGUGGGAGAAACACGGUGCCAGACGCACAGCAGGGGCUUCGUAAACGGAGGUCUGCUGCGUUUAACACAGCCUAGCCCGCGCAGUUUCGCACAUGCCCGCUGGGGGCUGGGAGCUGCUGCAGAGGCUGGGGGCUCAGGGGAGACCAUGAAAGAGAGACGUGACAUUUCUCGCAGGGAGAGUCAGAUAAAACCAAGCCGUUUUAGGUGGUGAAAAGUGUUACAGGUAAACCCUCGUGGAGCUGCAGAGUGAACACACUUUGAGGAGGUGUCACUCGAGCGAGGCUCGAAUUCUUCUUCGAAGGAGCCACCUGCAACAGGUUCCAGAGGCCCUGAGGUGUGUCGCCUUGGUGGGUUUAGGACAGAAUGAAGGCCGAGUGUCCGGCUCAGCCAGGCCUCGUAAGGGGUCAGGGCCUUAGGUCUCUGGCCCGAAGGCAGCGAGACGAGGCUCGUUAUUGACCCUCUUCCUCCGAAGGUGAAGGUGAGAUGUGCCGCUCUCCCUUCCAUGUGGCAACAAAACCCCAGUGUCAGUUGAAGUGCAUUUUGCAGAAUGAGUCGUCUAAGUCAUCUCUGACCAGUUCUUCUUGUUUGAGAAAAACCAGAGUCAAACCAACUGCUCAGAGGGUGUCCUGCCCAGGUGACAGUAGGAUGCAGAGGGCUCGGCUGCUGGGCACCUGGGGCUCCCCUCACACGCUGGGGAGCACCUGUGCUGGGCAGCCGGUUAAAGACGGGAGAUGGGUUUUCCAUGGAUGUUGGGGCCAAAGCAGGCCUUCGGCUUACACCUGUCAUGGUACUGAGAGCUUGGGAGGAUGAGCCCAGGAAGUCACCCAGCCAUGGGCCUGUCUCCAAGCUUUCUGGAGCUGCCCAGAUGCUCCUGCCAGCCCCACUCUGCUGUGCCUGCCUUUCCUGUGCGGGCACCUGAGAAUGAUGACCAGCUUCGAGGGCCAGUCUCAGUUGUGCCCUUGGCCUCUGCCCUGUCCUCGCACACGCUGAGCUUUUUUCUUCUCCAAAGUCUCCCCAUAUCUUUUAAAAUGUUAAAAUCUUUCUUGUUCCUUUUUGGUUACCAAGAAAUGUAGCUUGGUUGCUGUGAUGUUUUAAUAAACAGCUACUGCCUGUCUACAGUCUUCUUUGAAGGGUUCAGAUUUUUGUGAUCUGCUCUGUGUCAUCCUGCAUUGGCCACCUGUUGAUUUUUUUUUUUCAUUUACUUAUUUUUUAUUUUUUGUGGGGUUUUUUUUCCUCCUACCACCUCUUGAUUUUAUGCUUAAUUUCUCCAGUUUUCUUCAUGCUCUGAGUUCUAGGGUUCUUCAAGAAGGAAACCCUUCCUGUUGCUUAUAGUAUAUUGUUUUCCAUCCUAUCUCUGUCUUUACAUUUAAAGUCUUUAUAUUCAAAGUUUCUUGUAGACAACAUAUAGGUGAGUCUCUCUUUUUUUAAUACAAUCUGAUAAUCUCUGUAUUUUAAUUGGUGUGUAUUUAGUCCAUUUAUAUUUAACUUCAUUAUCUGUAUGGUUAGAGUUAAGUUUGCUUCUUGGUGGUUGUUUCCGUUUGUCCCAUCUAUUCUUUUUUUUUUUUUUUCACUCAAAUGAAGUUAUCGCAUCUGUAGUUGUAUAAUGAUCAUCACAAUCUGAUUUCACAGGAUUUCCAUCCCACAGCCCAAGCACAUCCCCCCCACCCCCCAAACUCUCCUCCGGAGACCAUAAGUUUUUCAGUGUCUAAUUGUAUUUUAUUUCCACGACUGGCCUUCAUCAGCAUCUUGGAGGGCUUCCUACAUUUUAUUUCUACGUAUGUUAUAAACCCCACACUACCUUCUUAUACUUGCUUGAAAUGUUCGAUUAUCUCUUAAAGUAAUUUAUAUUUCUUCACACAUUUACGUUCCUGGUGUUAAUACCUCCGUGAUCCAAGUUUCCGUCUGAUGUCAUUUUCCUUCACCUAAAGAACUUUCUUUAAUGUGUCUUAUAGUACAGGUCUGCUGUUGAGAGACUCUCUCAGCUUUGCUUUGUCUCAAAAAAAGGUUUUAUUUUGCCGUCAUUUUUGAAGGAUACUUUCCCUGAAUAUAGAAUUCUCGGUUGAUAGGUUUUUUUCCCCCUUUGGCGCUUUAAAAAGGUCAUUCAGUUGUUUUCUGCCUUGCACAUUUACUGAUAAGAAAGUCGGCAGUUAUUCUUAUCUUUGCUUCUCUGUAUGUUAACAUCUUUUUUCCUUCCCGCUGCUUUACGAUUUCGUCUUUAUCACUCGUUUUCAUCAGUUUGAUUAUAAUGUGUCUUACCGUACAUAUGCGGGUUCAGGGGGUUGCUUUUUGUUUGUUAGUCUUGCUGGGGGUUGAUCGGGCUUCUUGGAUCUAGGUUUCAUCAAAUUUGGAAAAUAAUACAUUUUAGUUGUUAUUUCCUCAAUUGUACUUUUCCUCAUCUCAGAUCCCAGUUACAUGUAUGUGAGACCACUUUCUGUUAUUGCCCAAAUCACCGAAACUCUGUUUUUAAAUUUUUUUUUUUUUUUCUGGGCUUCCUUUGGGAUAGUUUCUAUGGCUAUGCCCUCAAGUUUUCUAAUCUUUUACAGGGGUUUGGGGAGGGCUCUGUCUAAUCGACUGUUAAUCACAUCCAGCAAAGUUUUCAUUUUAAAUAUUGUGGUUUUCAUCUCAAAGAGCCAAAAGUCCCAUUUGGCUCUUGUUUAUGUCAUCCAUUUCUUUAAUUAUGUUUGUAUUUUUCUUUCAAUUCUUAUACAUAGUUAAGUGAGCUGUUACCCUCAUCUGUGAGGUCUAUCAGUGAUCAUUGCCCAGUGUUGCUAUUGACAUUAUUUUCCUUUCCAUGAGUCGGAUUUUCCUGCUUCUGGGCAUUGGCAUCGUUUUUUGUUUUUUUUUUGUUUGUUUGUUUGUUUUUGGUUUUUGGAUGUUACUCAUUGUAGAGAUUAUGUUGUUGAGUGUCUGGAUUUUGUUGUUUCACUGUGAAAAGUGUUGGACAUUGUUUUGGAAGGUAGUUAUUGGUGGAACAGUUUCAUCUCUUCAAGACCACCUUUUAAGCGUUUGUAGAGCAGCUCCAGGGUAGCUGUGGCUCCAGGGAUAGAUGGGCCCUACCUCUAAAGCAUAUGGCCCCUCUGAUUCUGUACUUAAUACCCCAGGUGGUCACUGAGGACUCUCUGCUCUGGUUGCUUGGACCCUGAACAUCUGCCUACCUUUGUGUGUCCUAGGAACUGUUCAGCUUGCAGCUUCUGGAUCAUUCUUUCCCGAGUUUUUCAGAGCGUCACUCUAUGCAUGCAUAGCUUGGUAAGAAAGACUCAAGGGGUGUCUCAUGCAGGUUUUUUUAGAGCUCUUUUUUCUGCAUAGCUCCCGCCUUUCUGGAACUCUGCUCUGCAACUUCCAACUGCCUCAGCUUCCCUGAAUGCUGGGCUGUGUUGAUGAUGAAGUCACCAGGCUUUGCUUGGGUCCCCCUUCCCUACACUCUUUCAGGAAUCCUAGUCCUGUGCUGCCCGCUGUCCAACGCCUAAGAGCUGUUGUUUAGCAUCUAUGUUGGUUCCGUUUUCUACUUAUGGCAGGACAUUAAAUCCCCUCCUUGUUACUCCAUCGUGGCCAGAAGUGGAAGUUUCUGUCCAUCCUUUUUAAUGUAACAGCUAAUUUUAUGUAAAAAUCUUUCUGGAGUAUCGGGGGUGUAUACUCCUUAAGGCAGUGUAAAAAUGCUUCCUUGGAGAGUUCCCGUCGUGGCACAGUGGAAACGAAUCCAACUAGGAACCAUGAGGUUGUGGGUUCGAUCCCUGGCCUCGCACAGUGGGUUAAGGAUCCAUCAUUGCUGUGAGCUGUGAUGUGAGUUGCAGACGCGGCUCGGAUCUGGUGGUGGUGUGGCUGUGGCGUAGGCCCACAGCUACAGCUCCGAUUGGACCCCUAGCCUGGGAACCUCCAUAUGCCGUGGGUGCGGCCC
Molecule: long non-coding RNA, 7106 nt
Filed under: Sus scrofa (pig)
Lineage: Eukaryota; Metazoa; Chordata; Mammalia; Artiodactyla; Suidae
Description: lncRNA (ENSSSCG00000055934.1)
Source: RNAcentral